AUACAGAGGGUGCAAGCGUUAAUCGGAAUUACUGGGCGUAAAGCGCGCGUAGGCGGUUUGUUAAGUCGGAUGUGAAAUCCCCGGGCUCAACCUGGGAACUGCAUUCGAAACUGGCGAGAUAGAGUAUGGUAGAGGAUAGUGGAAUUCCGGGUGUAGCGGUGAAAUGCGUAGAUAUCCGGAGGAACAUCAGUGGCGAAGGCGGCUAUCUGGACCAAUACUGACGCUGAGGUGCGAAAGCGGGGGGAGCAAACAGGAUUAGAAACCCUUGUAGUCC
RNAcentral lists this ribosomal RNA (274 nucleotides) under uncultured bacterium. RNAcentral's name for it is "partial 16S ribosomal RNA". It matches the Rfam family "Bacterial small subunit ribosomal RNA", at positions 523 to 796 of the family's 1533-position model. The record is from RNAcentral.